GGGUCAAAAGAAUAGAAGAAACUUUAUUUUAGCGGUUUUCUUUAUAGAUAAGAAAUAGAUUGUUUCCACAAAGUUUUAAUCAACAUACAAUAAGACUGGUCAUAAACACAAUCAAGUGCAAGCAAGUGAAGUUAAUAUUGGUAAAUGACAAGGUGUUGCUAUUGAGUAUCGUUUAAAUCAGAACUGUGAUGUCGUCUUCGUCCAAAAACAGAAAGACUAAAAAAGAGUCAGGUGCCUUCUAUAGAAAAAAGAAUAGAAGAAAUCUCAAAACAAGCGGGAGCAUUGAAAAGAUUUCAUCCAUAUCAUAUAGUACUGCAUCAACAAAUGGUUGAUCGUGAUUACGACAGAAGGUUGGAUUAUUGCAACUGGUUACUACAUAUGGUAUAUGACGACCCUCAAUUACUGUCACGUAUUUUGUUGUCAGACGAAGCUACAUUUAGCAGCGAUGGUACGGUUAAUCGGCAUAAUAUGCACCAUUGGUCACAGGAUAAUCCACGCUGGAUGGAAGAAGUUCAGUAUCAGGGGCGAUGGUCGGUGAAUGUAUGGUGUGGUAUUGUAGAUGGUCAGAUAAUUGGACCUUUUAUUUUUGACAACGCAAUUAACGGGGAACUUCUCUUAGAAGACAUAUCACUAGCAACUCGUAGGUUUAUGUUAUUUCAGCACGAUGUACGGAGCAUUUCUCCAGACAAGUUAGAGAAUUUUUAGGUAAUGCUUACCCUGAUAAUUUGAUAGGACGUGGAGGCCUAUUUUUUUCGUAAGCCCGGUCACCAGAUUUAACCGCCUUAGAGCCCCUACUAGAGAUAACAUGAUCGAGAGAAUACGAAACGCCAUUCAGAGUAUUUCGAGAGCAGAAAUUGAGACUGCUGUUCAAUCUACUCUUCAAAGAAUAAACGCUUGUAUCGAAAACGAUGGGCGACAAUUUGAACAUUUAGGUUGUCACUAGCGAGGUACCUUAAGUUAUAUUUCCAUUUUAACUUCCAUAACACAGUUUCCCGGUGACAGCAUAAGUAAUAUUGACAUAAUAAUUGGAACUAUUAUUAAUAGAACAAGUAAAGACAAUUUUGAGGAGUCAAAAAUGUUAAAAUCCGUUCAGUCAAACCGGA
This is a long non-coding RNA of Diorhabda carinulata, 1103 nucleotides long. RefSeq lists it as uncharacterized. The record is from RefSeq and is a predicted model, not a curated record. Lineage: Eukaryota; Metazoa; Arthropoda; Insecta; Coleoptera; Chrysomelidae. The transcript has 3 exons.